Molecule: long non-coding RNA, 453 nt
Organism: Bacillus rossius redtenbacheri
Lineage: Eukaryota; Metazoa; Arthropoda; Insecta; Phasmatodea; Bacillidae
Exons: 2
Source: RefSeq, a predicted model, not a curated record
AGAGCGACCACCGAGCAACACCGCGCCAGGACAACACAGCACAACAAACAACAUGCGGCUACUUCUCUGCAUCGCUGGCGGAACACAGCUUCUCGCCCUCCACUACACAGCGACCUACACUGGCAUCUAUUACCGUUCCUGAAACUACGGAACACAGAGCGCCGCUGCGAGGCCGCGGGGUGACCCCGGAAGCCGGAACAGUGGCGCUCCUGGCGGCGAGGGGCGAAGCUCGCGAGGGCGCCAGGGGAACAUCGCCCCCGGGCCCCACGCGACCUGCGGGAGACCAGUGGAGCGGAGAAACCGCGGCAACCAUAGAUAUAUACACACACAAGUGCGACGACUCCUUAACAGUGGAAACUGACACCCUGUCUUGCGCGACAUCUGUUGGGCGGGCCCAUAACUACUAGCAAAAAAAACUCGGACGGGAGGUUCAAAUAAAAAUUGUUACUUUUA